CUCCUUUUUUUCUUUGUUUCUCUCUCUCUCUCUCUCUCUCUCACUCCCUCACUCACUCACUCACUCAAACCGGGAAAUGUGCUCAGUGACGUCACCACAGCAAAACAAUGGGAACCGGCCAUCCGCCGCCGGGUCAGGGGUCAGGGCGCGCACACACACACACACACACACACACACAGGCUGACAUGUUAUGUGCUCAACGACAGGCCAGAGACACCACCACAUGGAAGAAUGGAGGCGGUUGGCUGCCCGUCGGCGAAGAAACUUCACUCAUCCCGGGGGCCGAUUCUGUUGAAAGGUCAUGAGGACUCGAAACGUCAACUGUACUCUUCUCCGCCGAUGCUGCCAGACCUGCUGAGUUUUUCCAGAUUUGUACACCUUGUCCUUGUUGGUCACUCAUUCCAACAGGUUUGGAAUUUCUGAUUUCUGAAGUAAAAUGCCCAAUGAAGAGACGAUGGCACACCUUGAAAAACACAAGUCUUGUAAAAACUUAAAGCCAAAAGACAAUGUUAUCUACUCCAUCUCUCAAUUAUAGGAGUGAGGAUCAGUGCAAGGAUGAAAGGGUAAAUAAGGAACAAAUACCAUCACGUUCAGGAACAUCUCUCAUAUUUCCCAAACAAUGAAUUACUUUGAAGUGCAUUUAUUGCUGUUAUGUAGGUAAAUUCAGUCGCCAUUUUGUACACAAGAUUCCCCCAUGCACCAAUGAGAUGAAUUGCCAGUUAAUCUGUUUGUGGUUGAGGGAGGAAUGUUAGCCAGGAUACGAGGAGGACUGAAUAGUCUUUGAAUGGUGCCAGGAGAUAUUUAAAACUUGCGCAAUGUGCUUUGGAGCUUUCUAUCUCAGGAAAAAGAAAGACUGAGGUUAAUGGCUCAUAUCUCAUUGAAACUAUACCUCCUGAUGUAACAAAGAGAGAUGGUUUCAGAAUCAUAAAGAAGCCAGAAGUCUGGAUAGGAAAGCCUCCGUUUUGGACACAAAUUUUGAUACCAAGGGAAUUGAAAAUAACAAGAACUAAGUCUGGCAUAAGUUGAAACAUUCGAAUUCUAAAAUCUUUUGUAAGACAAAUUAAAAUUCUUAAAGCGU
Molecule: long non-coding RNA, 1078 nt
Organism: Carcharodon carcharias (great white shark)
Lineage: Eukaryota; Metazoa; Chordata; Chondrichthyes; Lamniformes; Lamnidae
Exons: 4
Source: RefSeq, a predicted model, not a curated record